Molecule: long non-coding RNA, 573 nt
Organism: Drosophila serrata
Lineage: Eukaryota; Metazoa; Arthropoda; Insecta; Diptera; Drosophilidae
Source: RefSeq, a predicted model, not a curated record
UAUAUUCUUUGCUCUAUACCAUAACAUUUUAGACACUAAUCCUAGUCGGAACUAAUACUUUGACUUGUUUAUUUGUUAUUUUUGGCCUCAUCUUGUGUGCUCCAGUUUGUUUCCGCCAUGUUACAACUUGGGGACAUUCAGCCCUUUUCUUGGAUCACUUUACUACCUUGACCGGCUUCCGUUUGGAAAGAUCGGAUGAGAGUGUUUGGGAGCAGCCACUUUUACUGAUGAUUUCGCAAUUCAAUCCAGCUUUAACUUCAAGUUAAUAUACAGGAGGACGUCAGCUCCCAGUUAUUGAACGCAAAAUUGUUGCCCGUUUAUCAUUUUAGACUUCCUAUCAACAAACAUUUGUAAGCUAUUUCUGCCUUUUCCGGAUUUUCGAGUAAAUGGAGUCGUCUUUUAAAAAUAUCUCAAAUGGUAGCAUGGCUCUGCCUACCCUUUGAUAUAAUUUUUAAGGAAGACUUGUAUUUACUUAUUGAUCUCUUUCCUUUUUACUCCAUUGGACACUGACUGAUUAAUAUGUAUAUUUUUCUAAAUUUAUAGUAUUAUAUCAAACUUUUAGAUUUUUCUAAA